This 654-nucleotide ribosomal RNA is filed under the name uncultured cyanobacterium. Its description in RNAcentral is "bacterial SSU rRNA". It matches the Rfam family "Bacterial small subunit ribosomal RNA", at positions 118 to 804 of the family's 1533-position model. The record is from RNAcentral. Lineage: Bacteria; Bacillati; Cyanobacteriota.
UGAGAAUCUGGCUUUGGGUUCGGGACAACCAUUGGAAACGAUGGCUAAUACCGGAUGUGCCGAGAGGUGAAAGAUUAAUUGCCUUUAGAAGAGCUCGCGUCUGAUUAGCUAGUUGGUGAGGUAAGAGCUCACCAAGGCAGCGAUCAGUAGCUGGUCUGAGAGGAUGACCAGCCACACUGGGACUGAGACACGGCCCAGACUCCUACGGGAGGCAGCAGUGGGGAAUUUUCCGCAGUGGGCGAAAGCCUGACGGAGCAAGACCGCGUGAGGGAGGAAGGCUCUUGGGUUGUAAACCUCUUUUGUCAGGGAAGAACAAAAUGACGGUACCUGACGAAUCAGCAUCGGCUAACUCCGUGCCAGCAGCCGCGGUAAUACGGAGGAUGCAAGCGUUAUCCGGAAUUAUUGGGCGUAAAGCGUCCGCAGGUGGCUGAUCAAGUCUGCGGUCAAAGACCGGGGCUUAACCCUGGAAAGGCCGUGGAAACUGAUAGAGCUAGAGUACCGUAGGGGUAGAGGGAAUUCCCGGUGUAGCGGUGAAAUGCGUAGAGAUCGGGAAGAACAUCGGUGGCGAAAGCGCUCUACUGGACGGUGACUGACACUCAGGGACGAAAGCUAGGGGAGCGAAUGGGAUUAGAUACCCCAGUAGUCCUAGCCGUA